ACGUCCUUACUUGAACAGGAUCUGUUCUAUAGGGAAGUACAUUGUAUCCUUAGUAAAAAGGAGAUGGAAACCAAAGCUUGGUGGAUGAACCAGGACCGUGUGAUCAGAGGGUGAUUAAUGGCCAAGAUUCAAGCUGUGAAUCUCCUGGCUGUAGAGGAUCGUUCUCAGUGGCCAUGGUGGCUGAGAUGGUCACACGGUUGUCUGAUAGGC
This 210-nucleotide small nucleolar RNA is filed under the name Thalictrum thalictroides. Its description in RNAcentral is "snRNA". It matches the Rfam family "Plant small nucleolar RNA U3". Rfam says of the family: Small nucleolar RNAs (snoRNAs) are involved in the processing and modification of rRNA in the nucleolus. Lineage: Eukaryota; Viridiplantae; Streptophyta; Magnoliopsida; Ranunculales; Ranunculaceae. The record is from RNAcentral.